Molecule: ribosomal RNA, 490 nt
Filed under: uncultured bacterium
Lineage: Bacteria
Description: partial 16S ribosomal RNA
Rfam family: Bacterial small subunit ribosomal RNA
Source: RNAcentral
AGUGAACGCUGGCGGUAGGCCUAACACAUGCAAGUCGAACGGCAGCACAGUAAGAGCUUGCUCUUACGGGUGGCGAGUGGCGGACGGGUGAGGAAUACAUCGGAAUCUACUUUUUCGUGGGGGAUAACGUAGGGAAACUUACGCUAAUACCGCAUACGACCUACGGGUGAAAGCAGGGGAUCUUCGGACCUUGCGCGAUUGAAUGAGCCGAUGUCGGAUUAGCUAGUUGGCGGGGUAAAGGCCCACCAAGGCGACGAUCCGUAGCUGGUCUGAGAGGAUGAUCAGCCACACUGGGACUGAGACACGGUACAGACUCCUACGGGAGGCAGCAGUGGGGAAUAGGGGACAAUGGGCGCAAGCCUGAUCCAGCCAUAACGCGUGGGUGAAGAAGGCCUUCGGGUUGUAAAGCCCUUUUGUUGGGAAAGAAAAGCAGCAGGUUAAUACCCCGCUGUUCUGACGGUCCCCAAAGAAUAAGCACCGGAAAACUUCG